CCUACUGGAGGCAGCAGUGAGGAAUAUUGGUCAAUGGGCGCGAGCCUGAACCAGCCAAGUAGCGUGAAGGAUGACUGCCCUACGGGUUGUACACUUCUUUUAUCCAGGAAUAAAGUGAGUCACGUGUGCCUUUUUGUAUGUACUUUAUGAAUAAGGAUCGGCUAACUCCGUGCCAGCAGCCGCGGUAAUACGGAGGAUCCGAGCGUUAUCCGGAUUUAUUGGGUUUAAAGGGAGCGUAGAUGGGUUGUUAAGUCAGUUGUGAAAGUUUGGGGCUCAACCGUAAAAUUGCAAUUGAUACUGGCAGUCUUGAGUACAGGUGAGGUAGGCGGAAUUCGUGGUGUAGCGGUGAAAUGCUUAGAGAUCACGAAGAACUCCGAUUGCGAAGGCAGCUUACUAAACUGCCACUGACAUUGAUGCUCGAAAGUGUGGGUAUCAAACAGGAUUAGAGACCACAGUAGUC
This 460-nucleotide ribosomal RNA is filed under the name uncultured bacterium. Its description in RNAcentral is "partial 16S ribosomal RNA". It matches the Rfam family "Bacterial small subunit ribosomal RNA", at positions 338 to 795 of the family's 1533-position model. The record is from RNAcentral.